GUCCAGGGAUGGGAAUCGAACCCACAGUGUUCAGUGUUGCCAUGUCCACCAGGCUACCCUGGA
Molecule: transfer RNA, 63 nt
Filed under: Cordylochernes scorpioides
Lineage: Eukaryota; Metazoa; Arthropoda; Arachnida; Pseudoscorpiones; Chernetidae
Description: tRNA-OTHER
Source: RNAcentral